This 508-nucleotide ribosomal RNA is filed under the name uncultured bacterium. Its description in RNAcentral is "partial 16S ribosomal RNA". It matches the Rfam family "Bacterial small subunit ribosomal RNA", at positions 355 to 853 of the family's 1533-position model. The record is from RNAcentral.
UGGGGAAUUUUGGACAAUGGGCGAAAGCCUGAUCCAGCAAUGCCGCGUGUGUGAAGAAGGCCUUCGGGUUGUAAAGCACUUUUGUCCGGAAAGAAAUCCUUGGCUCUAAUACAGUCGGGGGAUGACGGUACCGGAAGAAUAAGCACCGGCUAACUACGUGCCAGCAGCCGCGGUAAUACGUAGGGUGCAAGCGUUAAUCGGAAUUACUGGGCGUAAAGCGUGCGCAGGCGGUUUGCUAAGACCGAUGUGAAAUCCCCGGGCUCAACCUGGGAACUGCAUUGGUGACUGGCAGGCUAGAGUAUGGCAGAGGGGGGUAGAAUUCCACGUGUAGCAGUGAAAUGCGUAGAGAUGUGGAGGAAUACCGAUGGCGAAGGCAGCCCCCUGGGCCAAUACUGACGCUCAUGCACGAAAAGCGUGGGGAGCAAAACAGGAUUAGAUACCCUGGUAGUCCACGCCCUAAAACGAUGUCAACUAGUUGUUGGGGAUUCAUUUCCUUAGUAACGUAGCU